RNAcentral lists this unclassified non-coding RNA (309 nucleotides) under Trechisporales sp. Its description in RNAcentral is "partial contains 5.8S ribosomal RNA, internal transcribed spacer 2, and large subunit ribosomal RNA". The record is from RNAcentral. Lineage: Eukaryota; Fungi; Basidiomycota; Agaricomycetes; Trechisporales.
CGCACCUUGCGCUCCUUGGUAUUCCGAGGAGCAUGCCUGUUUGAGUGUCUUGAAGUCAUCAACCCGAACCGUUUUUCUUGAACGGUCAGGGCUGGAGCUGGGGGACCUUUGCCGCUCGUCACGGGCGGCUCCCCUCAAAUGCGUCGGUUGGGCCUGUGGGUCGAACUCGGCUGGGCGUUGUACCAUCCUCGCUCUAACGAGACGGACCCCUUUCCGUGCCCCUCCUCGACCUGCCCCUCGUCAGGGUCGGCGGUCAACAAACAUUUGAAAUCUGACCUCAAAUCAGGUAGGACUACCCGCUGAACUUAA